Molecule: long non-coding RNA, 532 nt
Organism: Anguilla anguilla (European eel)
Lineage: Eukaryota; Metazoa; Chordata; Actinopteri; Anguilliformes; Anguillidae
Exons: 3
Source: RefSeq, a predicted model, not a curated record
CAAAAAAGACUAUGCGCCACACUCACCAUAGCCUUAAAAAAAUGCUAUUUAAAAUAAUAUACAACAGCAGUUCAGACUGCAACAAAAAUCAAAGGAGCUAAUUUGUUUCCCUUUUAAGAGCGCAUCAAGCUCAUGGGUGGGGCUCACAAACGACCAGACUAGGGGUUGUUGCCCUUUUAAGAUGACAGGUAUUACCUACGAACAGGUGUAUGGGAGAGAAUAAGGAAGUGGAGGGGAGAAUCGCUUUCCCAUAGAAAGGGCUAGAAAGAACCUUCUUCAGUAUACAGAAACGAACAAGUGGGGGAAAAAAAAAACUACUCAAAAACUCUACAAUGAGGAGAAAGAGGAAGUUGUCUGGCUUCCCUGAACAGAGGAAAUGAAUCCGCUCCUGCUUCCUGUUGUUGCCGUGAUUGUGUCCGCUGUGCUGCCCCCAGUCAUCCGGUCCCAGAACCCGGUCCCGAUCCAGUUCCAGACGGCCCCAGUGCUGGUGGCGUCCGGCGUGGAGGCGGUGAUGACCGUGGUGACGGUGUCG